This 576-nucleotide ribosomal RNA is filed under the name uncultured eukaryote. RNAcentral describes it as "bacterial SSU rRNA". The stretch from base 1 to 391 matches the Rfam family "Eukaryotic small subunit ribosomal RNA", at positions 203 to 595 of the family's 1831-position model. The record is from RNAcentral.
UCUUUAUUAGAUUUUUAACAACCCGGGCAACCGGUUUUGCGGUGAUUCAUGAUAAUUUUUCAAAUCGCCUGGACUUGCGCCUCCGAUGGUGCAUUACAAAUGCUGCCCUCUCUCCCUUCGAAGGGAGGAUUGAGGCCUCCCCUGGUUUUAACGGGUAACGGAGAAUUUUGGUUCGAUUCCUGAGAGGGGGUCCGAGAAAAAGCUGCCUGUUCCGAAGAAGGUAGUUUGUGCGAAAAUUCUCCCCUCCUUACCCAGGGCGGUAGGGACAAUAAAUAACAAUACAGGACACUUAUGUGUCUUGUCAUUGGAAUGAGUUCCAUUUAAAUCCAUUAACGAGGACCAAUUGGAGGGCAAGUCUGGUGCCAGCAGCCGCGCUAAUUCCCGCUCCAAUCUUGGAUAUUCCAGCUGGGAGCUGGAAAAGCUGCGGCUGCAGUUUUGAGACUUGCCCUCUGAUUGGGCCUCACUGUCAAUACUGCUUUUUUCUAUUCGAUUGACCUUACACUCUAUCUUGGUAACUUGUUUUUUCUUGACUCUACCGCCCUUGGGAUCGAUGACAGUUUCUUUGCAACCUACUGC